This 1517-nucleotide ribosomal RNA is filed under the name uncultured bacterium. Its description in RNAcentral is "bacterial SSU rRNA". It matches the Rfam family "Bacterial small subunit ribosomal RNA". The record is from RNAcentral.
AGAGUUUGAUCCUGGCUCAGAUUGAACGCUGGCGGCAGGCCUAACACAUGCAAGUCGAGCGGAAACGAGUUAUCUGAACCUUCGGGGAACGAUAACGGCGUCGAGCGGCGGACGGGUGAGUAAUGCCUAGGAAAUUGCCCUGAUGUGGGGGAUAACCAUUGGAAACGAUGGCUAAUACCGCAUAAUGCCUACGGGCCAAAGAGGGGGACCUUCGGGCCUCUCGCGUCAGGAUAUGCCUAGGUGGGAUUAGCUAGUUGGUGAGGUAAUGGCUCACCAAGGCGACGAUCCCUAGCUGGUCUGAGAGGAUGAUCAGCCACACUGGAACUGAGACACGGUCCAGACUCCUACGGGAGGCAGCAGUGGGGAAUAUUGCACAAUGGGCGCAAGCCUGAUGCAGCCAUGCCGCGUGUGUGAAGAAGGCCUUCGGGUUGUAAAGCACUUUCAGUCGUGAGGAAGGUAGUGUAGUUAAUAGCUGCAUUAUUUGACGUUAGCGACAGAAGAAGCACCGGCUAACUCCGUGCCAGCAGCCGCGGUAAUACGGAGGGUGCGAGCGUUAAUCGGAAUUACUGGGCGUAAAGCGCAUGCAGGUGGUUUGUUAAGUCAGAUGUGAAAGCCCGGGGCUCAACCUCGGAAUAGCAUUUGAAACUGGCAGACUAGAGUACUGUAGAGGGGGGUAGAAUUUCAGGUGUAGCGGUGAAAUGCGUAGAGAUCUGAAGGAAUACCGGUGGCGAAGGCGGCCCCCUGGACAGAUACUGACACUCAGAUGUGAAAGCGUGGGGAGCAAACAGGAUUAGAUACCCUGGUAGUCCACGCCGUAAACGAUGUCUACUUGGAGGUUGUGGCCUUGAGCCGUGGCUUUCGGAGCUAACGCGUUAAGUAGACCGCCUGGGGAGUACGGUCGCAAGAUUAAAACUCAAAUGAAUUGACGGGGGCCCGCACAAGCGGUGGAGCAUGUGGUUUAAUUCGAUGCAACGCGAAGAACCUUACCUACUCUUGACAUCCAGAGAACUUUCCAGAGAUGGAUUGGUGCCUUCGGGAACUCUGAGACAGGUGCUGCAUGGCUGUCGUCAGCUCGUGUUGUGAAAUGUUGGGUUAAGUCCCGCAACGAGCGCAACCCUUAUCCUUGUUUGCCAGCGAGUAAUGUCGGGAACUCCAGGGAGACUGCCGGUGAUAAACCGGAGGAAGGUGGGGACGACGUCAAGUCAUCAUGGCCCUUACGAGUAGGGCUACACACGUGCUACAAUGGCGCAUACAGAGGGCAGCAAGCUAGCGAUAGUGAGCGAAUCCCAAAAAGUGCGUCGUAGUCCGGAUUGGAGUCUGCAACUCGACUCCAUGAAGUCGGAAUCGCUAGUAAUCGUGGAUCAGAAUGCCACGGUGAAUACGUUCCCGGGCCUUGUACACACCGCCCGUCACACCAUGGGAGUGGGCGGCAAAAGAAGUAGGUAGUUUAACCUUCGGGAGGACGCUUACCACUUUGUGGUUCAUGACUGGGGUGAAGUCGUAACAAGGUAACCGUA